RNA transcript from Malus domestica (apple), 1073 nucleotides. RefSeq lists it as uncharacterized. NCBI's taxonomy places the organism in Eukaryota, Viridiplantae, Streptophyta, Magnoliopsida, Rosales, Rosaceae. The record is from RefSeq and is a predicted model, not a curated record.
CAGUUUUCUUGGCGAGGGUUUAGGGUUAGGUCUUUAUCUUGGGGCCCUUGUUUUAAUUUCCAGAAUUAGACAAGUGAUGCAAGCCACCACAGCCUUCUUUUUUGUUCCCGCAUAAGUCUCGUCAUCACUCACUGUCUCUCCAACUUCUCACAAGCAAUUGAAUGAUCCUUAUAUAAUUGCUUUGCUGCUGCUAUUGAUUCUCCAUCUCAAGAUCAUCGUCAUGUCUAGUAUCCUAUCUUCUCUUUUCUCGAUCUUUUUUCUGUUUCUUUCGAUGCAUGCAUGCGAGGCUCGCUAUAUCGGGCUUGGCCCUAAGGGUUUUGGAGCACCAUUCCUACCUUUCGGCAAGGGUCUGUUACUUUUGGAGAAGUUUAAAACACUUGGAAUGGAUUCAAGUAAAGGAUUCGUUAUGAAGGAAUAUGACGCAGCUGAAAAGGGUCAUGGUGGUGCAAUCACUAGUACUACGACUCCUGUAAAGGAAGUGAAGUGCACUAGCAGAGGACACAAAUCAGGGAUGGAACCAGCCGGAAGUGAGAUUGUAGAGUCUUCUGAUCAUCACAUGCUAGAUGUGGUGGAUCGAGGAGCAUAUGGGACCUCAUCAGGAUCAAUCUUUUUCUUUAUGUCGAAUCGUGGAGGGUGACAAUGGAAGAUAUGUUGUCUGUAUGCUUGAAUUGUCGAAUGUGCGAGUUGCAAUUAAUUAAUUGGGUGUCAGGAUCAGAAAUUGAAAAAAGAAGCAAGGAGGAGAGCUCUAUCUGGUAAAGAAGCCGUAAAUUACAACAGUGAUGACAAAGUAGAAGAUAAUGUGGUGCAUACAGAUUACAACCCGCCACAUUCGACACCACCCAUUCACAACAGAAAAAGUUAAUUACCAAGUGUAAAGCUAUAGACAAUCAAGAUCAAUCCAGCGAUAAAAAAGAUGCCACUUGUUAGAUGCUACUUGUCAAGAGAUUAGCUUAUAAGAGUUGUUAGUUGGUUAAGAAUCAGUUUGCUUACUGUGUAAGGAAUGUAACUAGUCUAAAUAGGAAAUCCAUGUAUCCAUUGAGUGUGUGAAGAAAUAAUAUCAGUGAAAUACUCUC